RNAcentral lists this ribosomal RNA (406 nucleotides) under uncultured bacterium. Its description in RNAcentral is "partial 16S ribosomal RNA". It matches the Rfam family "Bacterial small subunit ribosomal RNA", at positions 30 to 526 of the family's 1533-position model. The record is from RNAcentral.
AUUGAACGCUGGCGGCAGGCCUAACACAUGCAAGUCGAGCGAGCGGCGGACGUGUGAGUUAUGUAUGGGGCUCUGCCCGAUAGAGGGGGUUAACUACUGGAAACGGUUGCUAAUACCGCAUACUUUCGGAUGAACCCAUGUGGGAUUAGCUUGUAGUGUGGGUAUAGGCUCACCUUGGCGACGAUCUCUAGCUGGUCGUAGAGGAUGAUCAGCCACACUGGGACUGAGACACGGACCAGACUCCUACGGGAGGCAGCAGUGGGGAAUAUUGGACAAUGGGCGCAAGCCUGAUGCAGCCAUGCCGCGUGUAUGAAGAAGGCCUUAGGGUUGUAAAGUACUGUCAGCGGGGAGGCGUUACCCGCAGAAGAAGCACCGGCUAACUCCGUGCCAGCAGCCGCGGUAAUAC